This 504-nucleotide ribosomal RNA is filed under the name uncultured bacterium. RNAcentral's name for it is "bacterial SSU rRNA". It matches the Rfam family "Bacterial small subunit ribosomal RNA", at positions 15 to 518 of the family's 1533-position model. The record is from RNAcentral.
GAUUAUGGCUCAGGACGAACGCUGGCGGCGUGCCUAACACAUGCAAGUCGAGCGGAGAAUGCGGACAUGUUACAUGGAAGUAUCUUAGCGGCGGACGGGUGAGUAACACGUGGGUAACCUGCCUCAAAGAGGGGGAUAGCCUUCCGAAAGGAAGAUUAAUACCGCAUAAGCCUGCAGUACCGCAUGGUACAGCAAGGAAAAGGAGCAAUCCGCUUUGAGAUGGACCCGCGGCGCAUUAGCUAGUUGGUGAGGUAACGGCUCACCAAGGCGACGAUGCGUAGCCGACCUGAGAGGGUGAUCGGCCACAUUGGAACUGAGAUACGGUCCAAACUCCUACGGGAGGCAGCAGUGGGGAAUAUUGGGCAAUGGAGGAAAAACCUCUUACCCAGCAAUGCCGCGUGAGUGAAGAAGGUCUUCGGAUUGUAAAGCUUCUUUGAGUUGGGGACGAAUAAAUGACCGGUACCCAAGGAACAACGCCCCGGCUAACUAUGUGCCAGCCGCGGC